GGGGCGUUAGCUCAGUUGGUUAGAGCAGAGGACUCAUAAAAUUUGUGCACCGAGACUGGGAAACUGCUCGUGUGAAUGGCGUCAAAUUCGGUGAAAGCUAAGUCGCAAGAUAUGCCAACGCCGAGCCAAGCCGAGGUGCGAAAGCACCGCGGAAGGUGUAGAGACUAGACGGCGCCCACCUAACUCGAAAGACAUGGUGAAGGCAUAGUCCAGGGAGUGGUGAAAGCCACACAAACCAGAAUCCUUUGGUCGUUGGUUCAAGUCCAACACGCCCUACCA
This 279-nucleotide transfer RNA is filed under the name Acidovorax delafieldii. RNAcentral describes it as "tRNA-Met". The stretch from base 26 to 232 matches the Rfam family "Group I catalytic intron". Rfam says of the family: Group I catalytic introns are large self-splicing ribozymes. They catalyse their own excision from mRNA, tRNA and rRNA precursors in a wide range of organisms. Lineage: Bacteria; Pseudomonadati; Pseudomonadota; Betaproteobacteria; Burkholderiales; Comamonadaceae. The record is from RNAcentral.